UACGAAGGGAGCUAGCGUUGUUCGGAAUUACUGGGCGUAAAGGGCGCGUAGGCGGUACUAUAAGUUAGAUGUGAAAGCCCCGGGCUUAACCUGGGAACUGCAUUUAAUACUGUAGAACUAGAGGACGAGAGAGGAAAGUGGAAUUAUGAGUGUAGAGGUGAAAUUCGUAGAUAUUCAUAAGAACACCAGUGGCGAAGGCGACUUUCUGGCUCGUAUCUGACGCUAAGGCGCGAAAGCGUGGGGAGCAAACAGG
Molecule: ribosomal RNA, 253 nt
Filed under: uncultured bacterium
Lineage: Bacteria
Description: partial 16S ribosomal RNA
Rfam family: Bacterial small subunit ribosomal RNA
Source: RNAcentral